This is a non-coding RNA of Caenorhabditis elegans, 281 nucleotides long. Ensembl annotates it as ncRNA. Its record names the gene anr-43. The record is from Ensembl. Lineage: Eukaryota; Metazoa; Nematoda; Chromadorea; Rhabditida; Rhabditidae.
CGAUAACGUCUUGUGUAAACAAUGCGAUGUACUACUUCACACGUGCCUGACUCAAGUUCAGAGGCAUGUACUAAUCGAAUUGUUUGGGAAGAGCAAGAAGAAUUGAUUUUCGUUUUUUUUAGUGUUUGAGAUCACAUAGAAUGUUAUGCAAAGUUAAGAAUUUUGAAAAAUAAUGUAUGCUAAUGACUCGAACAUUCAAGUUUUUUUAAAAUGUCAAUAUUAGUUCUGUAUCUGACAUAAUACAGUUUCAAUUGAAAUUCCAUAAAAAAUUUUUGGAAAUC